UACAGAGGUGGCAAGCGUUGUUCGGAAUUACUGGGCGUAAAGGGCGCGUAGGCGGCCUGGUCAGUCGGGUGUGAAAGCCCGGGGCUCAACCCCGGAACGGCAUCCGAGACGGCCAGGCUGGAGACCGGGAGAGGAGAGUGGAAUAGCCAGUGUAGAGGUGAAAUUCGUAGAUAUUGGCUGGAACACCGGUGGCGAAAGCGGCUCUCUGGCCCGGUUCUGACGCUGAGGCGCGAAAGCGUGGGGAGCAAACGGG
This 253-nucleotide ribosomal RNA is filed under the name uncultured bacterium. Its description in RNAcentral is "partial 16S ribosomal RNA". It matches the Rfam family "Bacterial small subunit ribosomal RNA", at positions 524 to 776 of the family's 1533-position model. The record is from RNAcentral.